UGCUGACGAGCGGCGGACGGGUGAGUAAUGUAUGGGGAUCUGCCUGAUGGAGGGGGAUAACUACUGGAAACGGUAGCUAAUACCGCAUAAUGUCUACGGACCAAAGCGGGGGACCUUCGGGCCUCGCGCCAUCAGAUGAACCCAUAUGGGAUUAGCUUGUAGGUGAGGUAACGGCUCACCUAGGCGACGAUCCCUAGCUGGUCUGAGAGGAUGAUCAGCACACUGGGACUGAGACACGGCCAGACUCCUACGGGAGGCAGCAGUUGGGGAAUAUUGCACAAUGGGCGCAAGCCUGAUGCAGCCAUGCCGCGUGUAUGAAGAAGGCCUUCGGGUUGUAAAGUACUUUCAGUCGGGAGGAAGGUGGUAAGGUUAAUAACCUUAUCAAUUGACGUUACCGACAGAAGAAGCACCGGCUAACUCCGUGCCAGCAGCCGCGGUAAUACGGAGGGUGCAAGCGUUAAUCGGAAUUACUGGGCGUAAAGCGCACGCAGGCGGUUGAUUGAGUCAGAUGUGAAAUCCCCGGGCUUAACCCGGGAAUUGCAUCUGAUACUGGUCAGCUAGAGUCUUGUAAGGGGGGUAGAAUUCCAUGUGUAGCGGUGA
Molecule: ribosomal RNA, 600 nt
Filed under: uncultured bacterium
Lineage: Bacteria
Description: bacterial SSU rRNA
Rfam family: Bacterial small subunit ribosomal RNA
Source: RNAcentral